GACGAACGCUGGCGGCGUGCCUAACACAUGCAAGUCGAGCGGAGAUGACGUGAGGAAGUUUUCGGAUGGAAUCACAUUAUUUUAGCGGCGGACGGGUGAGUAACGCGUGAGCGACCAACCUUGCACAGGGGGAUAACGGACCGAAAGGUUCACUAAUACCGCAUGAGACCACGGUGUUGCAUGACACAGAGGUCAAAGGAGGGAUCCGGUGCAAGACGGGCUCGCGUCCGAUUAGGUAGUUGGAGGGGUAACGGCCCACCAGGCCUAUGAUCGGUAGCCGACCUGAGAGGGUGAUCGGCCACAUUGGAACUGAGAUACGGUCCAAACUCCUACGGGAGGCAGCAGUGGGGAAUAUUGGGCAAUGGGGGAAACCCUGACCCAGCAACGCCGCGUGAAGGAAGAAGGUUUUCGGAUUGUAGACUUCUGUCCUUGGUGAAGAGAAGAAGACGGUAGCCAAGGAGGAAGCCCCGGCUAACUACGUGCCAGCCGCCGCAGUAA
Molecule: ribosomal RNA, 498 nt
Filed under: uncultured bacterium
Lineage: Bacteria
Description: partial 16S ribosomal RNA
Rfam family: Bacterial small subunit ribosomal RNA
Source: RNAcentral